CGUCAGGCGCAAUGGAGGGUCAUACAGGGUUGUCGGGCACGCCGCAAUUUCCUCAGAGAUCAAGAUUGACUUUGCCAUUAACCUGGUGCCAAACGCCAAAGUUGAGUCUGGAGAAGAUUAUUGUAAGAUGAGGGACAGGCUCACAUGAACAGAUGGACACUGGGGGAUACUUGUUUUUCACUCCCUUGUCUGAUGGUCCAAGUACAUACAGUGUGGGUUGCCAGUCUUGCCAUGAUGAAGGUGGAUGGGUGCAUAUUCUAGUCUCCUCUUCUUAAUGAUCUCCAUAGCCACCUGCCUGUGACACUUCUUAUAUAAACUCCUAGCAUAGUGCAAAUUGAGUCAGCCAUACCAAGUGCAAGUGCCAAGAUCACUGAGCUGUUGUGUUUCCAGGCAGCCACACCAACAUCAAGGAGUGUGAGCAUUUGUCAGGAUGAAACUUGGGAGCCAAAGAAGGAGAGCAGGGUUUAGCAAAACCAUCAAGGAGCAGAGAUCAAGGCUUUAUAUCAUCUCCAGAUGUAUCGUUAUGCUGAUCCGGUGGCAUGACUGACGAAGACCAGUUUUGGCUCUUGAUUUCUUUAUUUUUCCAGCUCUGCUGUUGUUAUUUUUUCUUUUCCGGCUACCAGAAUGGUAGAGAAAAUGUACAUACAGAUAGAAUCAGAUCCUUGUAGCAGCUGCAGUAUCAAUCAAUAUUCAGUUUUGUCCCUCUCAUUGUUUGUCUCUUCCG
This 724-nucleotide long non-coding RNA is filed under the name Setaria italica (foxtail millet). RNAcentral describes it as "long non-coding RNA (SITA_LNC003746)". Lineage: Eukaryota; Viridiplantae; Streptophyta; Magnoliopsida; Poales; Poaceae. The record is from RNAcentral.